GUGCACCAGUCGAGAAACCUCCGCAAUACACGAAAGUGUGACGGGGCCAUCCCGAGUGCCGUCCGCUGAGGACGGCUUUUCCCCAGUGUACACAGCUGGGGGAAUAAGGAGAGGGCAAGCCUGGUGUCAGCCGCCGCGGUAAUACCAGCUCUCCGAGUGGUGGGGACGCUUAUUGGGCCUAAAGCAUCCGUAGCCGGCUGGGCAAGUCCUCCGUUAAAUCCAACGAUUCAAUCGUUGGGCUGCGGGGGAUACUGUCCAGCUUGGGGGCGGGAGAGGCCGACGGUAUUCCCGGGGUAGGGGUGAAAUCCUAUAAUCCCGGGAGGACCACCAGUGGCGAAGGCUGUCGGCUAGAACGCGCCCGACGGUGAGGGAUGAAAGCUGGGGGAGCGAACCGGAUUAGAUACCCGGGUAGU
Molecule: ribosomal RNA, 413 nt
Filed under: uncultured microorganism
Description: bacterial SSU rRNA
Rfam family: Archaeal small subunit ribosomal RNA
Source: RNAcentral